GCACGGUGGUGUGGUGGUUAGCACUCUCGCCUCACAGCAAGAGGGUUGCCGGUUCGAUCCCGGGCGUGGGAGCCCUUCUGUGCGGAGUUUGCAUGUUCUCCCCGUGUCAGCGUGGGUUCUCUCCGGGCACUCCGGCUUCCUCCCACAGUCCGAAGACAUGCAGAUUGGGGACUAGGUUAAUUGGUGACUCUAAAUUGUCCAUAGGUGUGAAUGUGAGCGUGAAUGGUUGUUUGUCUCUAUGUGUCAGCCCUGUGAUAGUCUGGCGACCUGUCCAGGGUGUACCCUGCCUCUCGCCCGAUGUCAGCUGGGAUAGGCUCCAGCCCCCCCCCGCGACCCUCAAGAGGAUGAAGCGGUUAGAAGAUGAA
Molecule: long non-coding RNA, 365 nt
Organism: Epinephelus moara (kelp grouper)
Lineage: Eukaryota; Metazoa; Chordata; Actinopteri; Perciformes; Serranidae
Exons: 2
Source: RefSeq, a predicted model, not a curated record